UACGAAGGGUGCAAGCGUUACUCGGAAUUACUGGGCGUAAAGCGUGCGUAGGUGGUGCGCUAAGUCUGUCGUGAAAGCCCCGGGCUCAACCUGGGAAUGGCGAUGGAUACUGGCGCGCUAGAGUGCGGUAGAGGAGAGUGGAAUUCCCGGUGUAGCAGUGAAAUGCGUAGAGAUCGGGAGGAACAUCAGUUGCGAAGGCGGCUCUCUGGACCAGCACUGACACUGAGGCACGAAAGCGUGGGGAGCAAACAGG
This 253-nucleotide ribosomal RNA is filed under the name uncultured bacterium. RNAcentral describes it as "partial 16S ribosomal RNA". It matches the Rfam family "Bacterial small subunit ribosomal RNA", at positions 524 to 776 of the family's 1533-position model. The record is from RNAcentral.